Molecule: ribosomal RNA, 433 nt
Filed under: uncultured bacterium
Lineage: Bacteria
Description: partial 16S ribosomal RNA
Rfam family: Bacterial small subunit ribosomal RNA
Source: RNAcentral
AACGAACGCUGGCGGCAUGCCUAACACAUGCAAGUCGAACGAGACCUUCGGGUCUAGUGGCGCACGGGUGCGUAACGCGUGGGAAUCUGCCCUUGGGUUCGGAAUAACAGUUGGAAACGACUGCUAAUACCGGAUGAUGACGUAAGUCCAAAGAUUUAUCGCCCAAGGAUGAGCCCGCGUAGGAUUAGCUAGCUGGUGAGGUAAAGGCUCACCAAGGCGACGAUCCUUAGCUGGUCUGAGAGGAUGAUCAGCCACACUGGGACUGAGACACGGCCCAGACUCCUACGGGAGGCAGCAGUGGGGAAUAUUGGACAAUGGGCGAAAGCCUGAUCCAGCAAUGCCGCGUGAGCGAUGAAGGCCUUAGGGUUGUAAAGCUCUUUUACCCGGGAUGAUAAUGACAGUACCGGGAGAAUAAGCUCCGGCUAACUCCGUG